UGGCUUGGUUGUUUAGUUGUUAACUAGAAUUUUACGGGAUCGAAGCCCGUCAGCCUAGU
This 59-nucleotide transfer RNA is filed under the name Lygodactylus capensis (Cape dwarf gecko). RNAcentral describes it as "partial tRNA-Asn". The record is from RNAcentral. Lineage: Eukaryota; Metazoa; Chordata; Lepidosauria; Squamata; Gekkonidae.